RNAcentral lists this ribosomal RNA (856 nucleotides) under Bacillus amyloliquefaciens. Its description in RNAcentral is "bacterial SSU rRNA". It matches the Rfam family "Bacterial small subunit ribosomal RNA", at positions 62 to 897 of the family's 1533-position model. Lineage: Bacteria; Bacillati; Bacillota; Bacilli; Caryophanales; Bacillaceae. The record is from RNAcentral.
UCGAGCGGACAGAUGGGAGCUUGCUCCCUGAUAGAUUAGCGGCGGACGGGUGAGUAACACGUGGGUAACCUGCCUGUAAGACUGGGAUAACUCCGGGAAACCGGGGCUAAUACCGGAUGGUUGUCUGAACCGCAUGGUUCAGACAUAAAAGGUGGCUUCGGCUACCACUUACAGAUGGACCCGCGGCGCAUUAGCUAGUUGGUGAGGUAACGGCUCACCAAGGCGACGAUGCGUAGCCGACCUGAGAGGGUGAUCGGCCACACUGGGACUGAGACACGGCCCAGACUCCUACGGGAGGCAGCAGUAGGGAAUCUUCCGCAAUGGACGAAAGUCUGACGGAGCAACGCCGCGUGAGUGAUGAAGGUUUUCGGAUCGUAAAGCUCUGUUGUUAGGGAAGAACAAGUGCCGUUCAAAUAGGGCGGCACCUUGACGGUACCUAACCAGAAAGCCACGGCUAACUACGUGCCAGCAGCCGCGGUAAUACGUAGGUGGCAAGCGUUGUCCGGAAUUAUUGGGCGUAAAGGGCUCGCAGGCGGUUUCUUAAGUCUGAUGUGAAAGCCCCCGGCUCAACCGGGGAGGGUCAUUGGAAACUGGGGAACUUGAGUGCAGAAGAGGAGAGUGGAAUUCCACGUGUAGCGGUGAAAUGCGUAGAGAUGUGGAGGAACACCAGUGGCGAAGGCGACUCUCUGGUCUGUAACUGACGCUGAGGAGCGAAAGCGUGGGGAGCGAACAGGAUUAGAUACCCUGGUAGUCCACGCCGUAAACGAUGAGUGCUAAGUGUUAGGGGGUUUCCGCCCCUUAGUGCUGCAGCUAACGCAUUAAGCACUCCGCCUGGGGAGUACGGUCGCAAGACUGA